GAUGAACGCUAGCUACAGGCUUAACACAUGCAAGUCGAGGGGUAACGAGAGGAAAGCUUGCUUUCCUUGUCGACGACCGGCGCACGGGUGAGUAACGCGUAUCCAACCUGCCCCCAACUAAGGAAUAACCUUGCGAAAGUAAGACUAAUACCUUAUAAUUUCCUCAGAUGUCAUCUGACGAGGAAUAAAGAUUUAUCGGUUGUGGAUGGGGAUGCGUCUGAUUAGCUUGUUGGCGGGGUAACGGGCCACCAAGGCAACGAUCAGUAGGGGUUAUGAGAGGAAGGUCCCCCACAUUGGAACUGAGCCGCGGUCCAAACUCCUACGGGAGGCAGCAGUAGGGAAUAUUGGGCAAUGGGCGAAAGCCUGAACCAGCCAAGUAGCGUGCAGGAUGACGGCCCUAUGGGUUGUAAACUGCUUUUAUACAGGAAUAAAGUUAGCCACGUGUGGUUAUUUGUAGGUACUGUAUGAAUAAGGACCGGCUAAUUCCGUGCCAGCCGCCGCGGUAA
RNAcentral lists this ribosomal RNA (506 nucleotides) under uncultured bacterium. RNAcentral's name for it is "partial 16S ribosomal RNA". It matches the Rfam family "Bacterial small subunit ribosomal RNA", at positions 28 to 523 of the family's 1533-position model. The record is from RNAcentral.